CAAGAACAGGUGUGCUAGCGGGCAUUUUGAACUGAUAUUUCGUUUCAGCUAGCAAGAAAACCAAGUUGGAAUAACUGCUCUCUGCCACCUCAUGAAGCCGUUACCUCAACAUGGAGUUGAUUCUUGGACUAAAUUGAGCAGAAAACCUGAAGAAGUGCUGCUGUUUGGUCUGGUUUGUUUUUGCUGCUUGUUGGAUGGAGGUCCAGUUAGCUGAAGAUACAUGAGAUAUCACUAAACACAGAGGCACCACAGCGGGGCAGCAGGAGGACACAGGAUCCAGGGGAGGAGGUGCAGCUCGAUGUCUGGCCUUGUCUAAGACAAAUUUCUCCUACGGGAGACAAUGAAGUGAACUUGAACUUGAUGUUUGUCACAAUGGAUGGAUGGGUUCACAGAAGUGUCUAUCAACAGUCCUUUCUUCUAACUAUGACCAAUAUUAAGUGAUUAUUACUGCAACAAGCAGUCCUCUAACCUGGACCUAACUUCCAGUGCUGUCGCAGACGGCUG
Amphiprion ocellaris (clown anemonefish) is the source of this 504-nucleotide long non-coding RNA. The record is from Ensembl. NCBI's taxonomy places the organism in Eukaryota, Metazoa, Chordata, Actinopteri, Pomacentridae.